This 344-nucleotide unclassified non-coding RNA is filed under the name Hevea brasiliensis (rubber tree). The record is from RNAcentral. Lineage: Eukaryota; Viridiplantae; Streptophyta; Magnoliopsida; Malpighiales; Euphorbiaceae.
GCCGUUGCUGUUGUCCUGGCAGCACACAGCGUUGGACGAGCAGGCACUGCUGCCUCCAACACCGAUAACGGUGAUUGGGGAGCAGGUCAAGCCAACAAGGACGCUCAGGUCCGAGAGGACGAUACCAAGCAGACCGAGGAUCGCAGUCGCGCUCGGGUCACUGGCCUUCGUCACGGUGUUGCAGCAUUGGACGGGGCCGGUGCUGCAAGACGAGGAGGGCUCGCCGCCCCGGACCUCCAGGGGGGUGGCGGCCGCAAGAAGGGGCAGAGCAGCGAGAGCGAGGGUGGCGACGCGGGAGAACAUGGUAAGGAGAGUGCGGACCGGGAAUGCGAGAGGGCUGACUG